RNAcentral lists this long non-coding RNA (622 nucleotides) under Ananas comosus (pineapple). RNAcentral's name for it is "long non-coding RNA (ACOM_LNC004247)". The record is from RNAcentral. Lineage: Eukaryota; Viridiplantae; Streptophyta; Magnoliopsida; Poales; Bromeliaceae.
GGUGGAAGUUCGUGAACUCGCGUAGCAGUAAAUAAUAAUAAUAAUAAUUAUAAGUAUUAUUAAAAAUUAAUAAAUAAUAAAAGUUACCGAUCAUUCCUAGCGUAAGUAGCAAAAGAUUUAAUGAUUAGUAUCUGAAGUUUUAAGUUCGAAUUCUAGUUGAUUCACAUUUUCAGCUAAAUUUAUUUCUAAAUGAAAUAAACAAAACGAAUAGUAUGCUACUUAUUUUUUUAAAAAUAAAUAAAUAAUGAAAGUUCUAUUCACCACAGAAUAAUUAAAUUUAUUCAAAAAUUUAUACAUUGUACAUUAUAAGCAACAGAUAAAAUAAUUUUAAGACUUAUUCAGUAUAAAGACAUAUUCGGUAUAGAGGUUCAGCUAACGCUAAUAAAACAACGCUUUUCAAUGAGACUAUAAAAUCUGUAUUGUAAUCGACUAGUUACGAUAUGCAAAGUACGAUAUUUUUAUUUUUCUGCAACGUCAAGUCUAAAAUAUAAUAAUCAUAUUAGUAAUACAGUGUCCUCCCAAUUAAUGAAAAUUUUUUUUUAAAAAAAAAUUAUUUAUUCCAUCAUAAUUUUUUUUAAAAAAAAUAUUUUUAUUAUAAUUUUAAAAAAAUAAAAAAUAAAAA